AUGUGGAGCUACUGGGGCAGACUGGAUCGGGAGGAGAGUACGAGGCCCAGACAGGGUUCGGCUGGAGUAACGGAGUGAUCCUGCAGAUCUUGGACAUUUUCGGACGUGAUAUCACUGUGCGACGAACGUGAAAGCUCUAGUUCGCCUGUCUAAAGGUAUCUCUCUACUCUCCACAUUCCGUCCAAGCGCAGCAGCCCGCAAGUGCCAUCAGCCUCCAAGUGCCUCCUCCAUAGUGCCUCGUACCAAGUGUCGGGGGUCAUACAUCCAGUUAAAAAAAAAACGUCAAACGUUGUUAAAAUAAUUAUUUAAUUACCUUAUUAUUUUAAGAGCAAUUGUGAUAUUGAUGUAACAAUAAACUGUGUUAGGUUAUGAUUCUUAAA
This is a long non-coding RNA of Homalodisca vitripennis (glassy-winged sharpshooter), 380 nucleotides long. RefSeq lists it as uncharacterized. The transcript is spliced from 2 exons. The record is from RefSeq and is a predicted model, not a curated record. NCBI's taxonomy places the organism in Eukaryota, Metazoa, Arthropoda, Insecta, Hemiptera, Cicadellidae.